ACACCGGCAGCUCAAGUGGUGGCCAUUUUUAUUGGGCCUAAAGCGUUCGUAGCCGGUUUGAUAAGUCUCUGGUGAAAUCUCACGGCUUAACCGUGAGAAUUGCUGGAGAUACUAGUUAGGCUUGAGGCCGGGAGAGGCUGGAGGUACUCCCAGGGUAGGGGUGAAAUCCUAUAAUCCUGGGAGGACCACCUGUGGCGAAGGCGGCUAACUGGAACGGACCUGACGGUGAGUAAACGAAAGCCAGGGGCGCG
RNAcentral lists this ribosomal RNA (251 nucleotides) under uncultured bacterium. RNAcentral's name for it is "partial 16S ribosomal RNA". It matches the Rfam family "Archaeal small subunit ribosomal RNA", at positions 473 to 721 of the family's 1478-position model. The record is from RNAcentral.